Long non-coding RNA from Salvelinus namaycush (lake trout), 455 nucleotides. RefSeq lists it as uncharacterized. The record is from RefSeq and is a predicted model, not a curated record. Lineage: Eukaryota; Metazoa; Chordata; Actinopteri; Salmoniformes; Salmonidae. The transcript is spliced from 3 exons.
CCGCAAUCUGGAUAAGAAGGCACUGACGAUGAGAGCAACGAGCUGGGCUGCCUGCACCAGAACAGCAUCACUCAGCUGUGUAUCGUGUCAGGAACUAAGGUCCACGUGGACAAGUACAGCAGUGUGGGUCUGGACGGAGCUAUGGUCCUCUGGGACUUCAAGCACUGAGUUCAUGGAGGAUGCUAGAGCCAUAGGCUGUGUUGCCAUCUCUGCGGUCAGCAUCACUCCAGCUGACCAUGGGACUCACACUACAGUGUUAUUAACAUCUACAUUAAGCAGUUAGUCACACCAGGGUGUGGGUCAAUUCAUUUCAAUUUCAGUCAAUUCGAAAUGUAAACCAAAUUCCAAUUCCAUUUUUUUUUUUCCUCAUUGAAAAGCAUUGAAAGAAUUGGAAUGUCAGUGUACUUUCUGAAUGACUGGAAUUGAAAUGGAAUUGACCCACAACACCGAGUCAC